GCCAGCAGCUAUCAAUCUGCAGCUCUCACCUGGUUGCCCACUGAAGCUAAGCAGGGAUGAGCCUGGUCAGUACCUGGAUGGGAGACCUCUUGGGAAAAUGAGGUUGCUGCUGGAA
Molecule: ribosomal RNA, 115 nt
Filed under: Sinocyclocheilus rhinocerous
Lineage: Eukaryota; Metazoa; Chordata; Actinopteri; Cypriniformes; Cyprinidae
Source: RNAcentral